This 468-nucleotide ribosomal RNA is filed under the name uncultured bacterium. Its description in RNAcentral is "partial 16S ribosomal RNA". It matches the Rfam family "Bacterial small subunit ribosomal RNA", at positions 28 to 507 of the family's 1533-position model. The record is from RNAcentral.
GACGAACGCUGGCGGCGUGCUUAACACAUGCAAGUCGAACGGAAAGGCCCUGCUUUUGUGGGGUGCUCGAGUGGCGAACGGGUGAGUAACACGUGAGUAACCUGCCCUUGACUUUGGGAUAACUUCAGGAAACUGGGGCUAAUACCGGAUAGGAGCUCCUGCUGCAUGGUGGGGGUUGGAAAGUUUCGGCGGUUGGGGAUGGACUCGCGGCUUAUCAGCUUGUUGGUGGGGUAGUGGCUUACCAAGGCUUUGACGGGUAGCCGGCCUGAGAGGGUGACCGGCCACAUUGGGACUGAGAUACGGCCCAGACUCCUACGGGAGGCAGCGGUGGGGAAAAUUGCACAGUGGGCGGAAGCCUGAUGCAGCAACGCCGCGUGCGGGAUGACGGCCUUCGGGUGGUAAACCGCUUUCGCCUGUGACGAAGCGGGAGUGACGGUAAUGGGUAAAGAAGCACCGGCUAACUACGUG